Molecule: ribosomal RNA, 922 nt
Filed under: uncultured bacterium
Lineage: Bacteria
Description: bacterial SSU rRNA
Rfam family: Bacterial small subunit ribosomal RNA
Source: RNAcentral
AGAGUUUGAUCCUGGCUCAGAACGAACGCUGGCGGCGUGCUUAACACAUGCAAGUCGAACGCGAACGAUUUUCUUCGGAGAAUUUAGUAGAGUGGCGCACGGGUGAGUAACGCGUAAGUAAUCUACCCUGGCAUCCAGGAUAACCCACCGAAAGGUGUGCUAAUACUGGAUACGCUGAUUUAUCAGGAAAGGUGGCCUCUGAUUUAAGCUACCGUGCUGGGAGGAGCUUGCGUACCAUUAGCUAGUUGGUAGGGUAAAGGCCUACCAAGGCGACGAUGGUUAGCGGGUCUGAGAGGAUGAUCCGCCACACUGGAACUGGAACACGGACCAGACUCCUACGGGAGGCAGCAGUGAGGAAUAUUGCGCAAUGGGGGCAACCCUGACGCAGCGACGCCGCGUGGAUGAUGAAGGCUUUCGAGUCGUAAAAUCCUGUCAGAUGGAAAGAAGUGCAUAUGUAUUAAUAGUGCAUAUGUUUGACGGUACCAUCAAAGGAAGCACCGGCUAACUCCGUGCCAGCAGCCGCGGUAAUACGGAGGGUGCAAGCGUUGUUCGGAAUUACUGGGCGUAAAGCGCGCGUAGGCGGUUUGUUAUGUCAGAUGUGAAAGUCCUCGGCUCAACCGGGGAAGUGCAUUUGAAACUGGCAGACUUGAGUAUUGGAGGGGGUAGUGGAAUUCCCGGUGUAGAGGUGAAAUUCGUAGAUAUCGGGAGGAAUACCGGUGGCGAAGGCGACUACCUGGCCAAAUACUGACGCUGAGGUGCGAAAGCGUGGGGAGCAAACAGGAUUAGAUACCCUGGUAGUCCACGCCGUAAACGAUGUCAACUAGGUGUUGGGGAGGUUAAUCUUCUCAUUGCCGGAGCUAACGCAUUAAGUUGACCGCCUGGGGAGUACGGUCGCAAGAUUAAAACUCAAAGGAAUUGACGG